This 719-nucleotide ribosomal RNA is filed under the name Bacillus thuringiensis. Its description in RNAcentral is "bacterial SSU rRNA". It matches the Rfam family "Bacterial small subunit ribosomal RNA", at positions 8 to 707 of the family's 1533-position model. Lineage: Bacteria; Bacillati; Bacillota; Bacilli; Caryophanales; Bacillaceae. The record is from RNAcentral.
AGAGUUUGAUCCUGGCUCAGGAUGAACGCUGGCGGCGUGCCUAAUACAUGCAAGUCGAGCGAAUGGAUUGAGAGCUUGCUCUCAAGAAGUUAGCGGCGGACGGGUGAGUAACACGUGGGUAACCUGCCCAUAAGACUGGGAUAACUCCGGGAAACCGGGGCUAAUACCGGAUAAUAUUUUGAACUGCAUGGUUCGAAAUUGAAAGGCGGCUUCGGCUGUCACUUAUGGAUGGACCCGCGUCGCAUUAGCUAGUUGGUGAGGUAACGGCUCACCAAGGCAACGAUGCGUAGCCGACCUGAGAGGGUGAUCGGCCACACUGGGACUGAGACACGGCCCAGACUCCUACGGGAGGCAGCAGUAGGGAAUCUUCCGCAAUGGACGAAAGUCUGACGGAGCAACGCCGCGUGAGUGAUGAAGGCUUUCGGGUCGUAAAACUCUGUUGUUAGGGAAGAACAAGUGCUAGUUGAAUAAGCUGGCACCUUGACGGUACCUAACCAGAAAGCCACGGCUAACUACGUGCCAGCAGCCGCGGUAAUACGUAGGUGGCAAGCGUUAUCCGGAAUUAUUGGGCGUAAAGCGCGCGCAGGUGGUUUCUUAAGUCUGAUGUGAAAGCCCACGGCUCAACCGUGGAGGGUCAUUGGAAACUGGGAGACUUGAGUGCAGAAGAGGAAAGUGGAAUUCCAUGUGUAGCGGUGAAAUGCGUAGAGAUAUGGAGGAAC